This is a long non-coding RNA of Gymnogyps californianus (California condor), 265 nucleotides long. RefSeq lists it as uncharacterized. NCBI's taxonomy places the organism in Eukaryota, Metazoa, Chordata, Aves, Accipitriformes, Cathartidae. The record is from RefSeq and is a predicted model, not a curated record. The transcript has 3 exons.
AGAGCUGGUAACUCUACCUUUCACUGAGAUUAACAAAAUCUACAAAGUCUCUCUUCAAAACAAAUGACAAAUCACCACAGAGCUGCAGACCAGCAAAUGGAGUGAACUGAGGGCAAUUUGACCAACAUCAUCUGUGUCGGUUCCCCAGAAGUCGAUGAAACAUGUUAUCAGGUCUCCAAGAGGCUUUGUGGCAACAAGUGCAAGAAAAAUUACUCAUUUCUCUUCGGCUGAACUCCAUUGUAUGACAGGGAAGUGACCACUUGCA